ACGAACGCUGGCGGCGUGCCUAAUACAUGCAAGUAGAACGCUGAAGGAGGAGCUUGCUUCUCUGGAUGAGUUGCGAACGGGUGAGUAACGCGUAGGUAACCUGCCUGGUAGCGGGGGAUAACUAUUGGAAACGAUAGCUAAUACCGCAUAAUAGUAGAUGUCGCAUGACAUUUGCUUAAAAGGUGCAAUUGCAUCACUACCAGAUGGACCUGCGUUGUAUUAGCUAGUUGGUGAGGUAACGGCUCACCAAGGCAACGAUACAUAGCCGACCUGAGAGGGUGAUCGGCCACACUGGGACUGAGACACGGCCCAGACUCCUACGGGAGGCAGCAGUAGGGAAUCUUCGGCAAUGGACGGAAGUCUGACCGAGCAACGCCGCGUGAGUGAAGAAGGUUUUCGGAUCGUAAAGCUCUGUUGUAAGAGAAGAACGAGUGUGAGAGUGGAAAGUUCACACUGUGACGGUAUCUUACCAGAAAGGGACGGCUAACUACGUG
This 494-nucleotide ribosomal RNA is filed under the name uncultured bacterium. RNAcentral's name for it is "partial 16S ribosomal RNA". It matches the Rfam family "Bacterial small subunit ribosomal RNA", at positions 29 to 507 of the family's 1533-position model. The record is from RNAcentral.